This 445-nucleotide ribosomal RNA is filed under the name uncultured bacterium. RNAcentral describes it as "partial 16S ribosomal RNA". It matches the Rfam family "Bacterial small subunit ribosomal RNA", at positions 354 to 796 of the family's 1533-position model. The record is from RNAcentral.
GUGAGGAAUAUUGGUCAAUGGACGAGAGUCUGAACCAGCCAAGUCGCGUGAAGGAAGACGGUUCUAUGAAUUGUAAACUUCUUUUGUGCAGGAAUAAAGUGGGUUACGUGUAACCUUUUGUAUGUACUGUACGAAUAAGGAUCGGCUAACUCCGUGCCAGCAGCCGCGGUAAUACGGAGGAUCCGAGCGUUAUCCGGAUUUAUUGGGUUUAAAGGGUGCGUAGGUGGCAUGAUAAGUCAGCGGUGAAAGUUUGCAGCUUAACUGUAAAAUUGCCGUUGAAACUGUCGGUCUUGAGUGCAAAUGAGGUGGGCGGAAUGUGUUGUGUAGCGGUGAAAUGCUUAGAUAUAACACAGAACUCCGAUUGCGAAGGCAGCUUACUGGGAUGCAACUGACACUGAUGCACGAAAGCGUGGGUAUCAAACAGGAUUAGAAACCCUGGUAGUCC